GGUGGCGCUGCGCGUGCGCACUCGCUCCGAGCCCUGCUCCCGGGAGAGGGAGCUCUCGGGUCGGGGCUAGGGAAGGCUGACCCCGCUGGGUCCGGGUGAAAGGGCGGCGACGGCACUGGGUGGGGCCGAGCUCCAGGGCUGGCUGCUGGGCUGCUAAGGGAAUUGUGAGCCGCUCGGAUCCGCGCGCCUCCCGGGCGGGGCGGGGCCGGCCGUGGGAGUCCGCGCGUGCCCGCUUCGAGCUGCCUGCUCUGGCGGCUUCGCUGCUAGCUCGCGGCGACGUCGGGCCGGUUUUUCCAGGAUGACAGAGCUGAGGCAGAGGGUGGCCCAUGAGCCGGAUGCGCCACCCGAGGACAAGAUAAGUGGAGGGUCCACCAUCACUUUGUCACCUGAUCAAUGGUUGGCUGGAGCUGAGGAUCAUCUGUGCCCACCAAUCCCUGUUGCCUUACACCAGGCUCACGGCUUCCCCUAAUGCAGCCUAUAACUUUUUGAUGACUGGACGCAACGGACAUUAGGGAGACACCAAGAAGGAAGAAAGCACAAGAUUUGGUGACAGGAUGUCAACAGAGCAGUUACACUAGGAGGAAUGUUUUUGGUGAAAGAUAAUGAGAUCAUGGGUUUUUUUAAACAACUUUCGUGUUAUUGCAGUUGACAGUGGACUAUCCAAAGAGAACUGUUCCUACUGAUUUUUAGAACAUAUAUUUUGGCCAGGCACAGUGCUGCUUGCCUGUAAUCCUAGCUUCUAGGGAGGCUGAGGCAGG
This 758-nucleotide long non-coding RNA is filed under the name Pan troglodytes (chimpanzee). Its description in RNAcentral is "long non-coding RNA NONPTRT008844". Lineage: Eukaryota; Metazoa; Chordata; Mammalia; Primates; Hominidae. The record is from RNAcentral.